UAAUAUCUUCAGGGCAGGGUGUAAUUCCCUACCGGUGGUAAAGCCCACGAACCUUUUGGUAUGAUUCGGUGAAAUUCCGAAGCCGACAGUAAAGUCUGGAUGAAAGAAGAUGUAU
Molecule: non-coding RNA, 115 nt
Filed under: Ruminococcus sp.
Lineage: Bacteria; Bacillati; Bacillota; Clostridia; Eubacteriales; Oscillospiraceae
Also listed under: 1 other name
Description: FMN sequence
Rfam family: FMN riboswitch aptamer (RFN element)
About the family: The RFN element is a highly conserved domain that is found frequently in the 5'-untranslated regions of prokaryotic mRNAs that encode for flavin mononucleotide (FMN) biosynthesis and transport proteins. This element is a metabolite-dependent riboswitch that directly binds FMN in the absence of proteins.
Source: RNAcentral